GUGCAACGGUUCAAUCAAUGCAUCAAUGGCAACGGUCACGUGAAACGCAGUGGAAAGUAAAUGUGGCCCUUGGCCUUUGUGCACGUGUCAAGCUAACAGAUCCAAACUCACUUAUGUAUUGAAAGAAACAAUGGCAGUGCUGAACGGAAUCUCAAACAUGAGUUGCUCACCCCUCACUCCAAUAUGUUCAUCGUUUCCUACUCCGUCGCGCCGGAGGUGGUCUUCGGUGGCGGAGGGGCCCAUAAAUAUAACUAAACAACAUCAACUCACUCAAAAAAUGACGCUGCUCAUGAAUCUGAAAUCCAAACUUCCUAACUUCUCAUGGAUUGUAGAAAUCGAUAGCUCUGCCGGUACAAAUGUAUUUUGCAGCAUGAUGCUUACGCCGAUUAAUUGAAGCUCUUCAUUAGAUUCCUGUUGCAAAUCCCUUUUCGAUUUUUCUGUUUGUGUGUAUGAAUAAUUGCGGGUGAGGUCGCGGUUGAAGAAUGGAAGUUGGGUUUUUUGUGCAGUUCAUUUGCCUUUUAUGCAUCUUCAGCGUUUGGCUUACGGCUCAUGCAACUUUUGCUUUUUUUGCUGCCGCUAUUUGUUGCGUCCUGUUGCAGGUUUGUGUGGUCGCCGUAUUGGUGCACUCAUAGGUCCAACUUGCCUUGGUUAAUGGCCUGAAUUGUCUUUCCGCCACGGAAGUGCAAUUGGUGUGUUAGGCUCUUGGUGAUAUUCUAACUAGGUGAAAUGCAUUGUCAUGCUGCUAGAACUAUUCCAAUAGGCCCUUUAUGCUAUGAAUGAAAUGAUCUCGCUUCCAGAAUUAGCCAUGGAUGCCGUGAACCUUGACCAUGUUAUAAACUUUUUGGUUUAUUGAUAUGAUACAUUGGGCAUGAGCUUAUGAUAUAUAGUAGUAUUUCCUUGAGUGUAUUUUUGUGCAUUUGGAUGAAAUCUAACAUAGGCAUUGCUUCAGGUAUGCAGGCUAUUGUGAAUUGGUUUGGAUUGCUGGCGCCGUUUUUUCUACCGAAAAUUGGAGCUUUGGAUGUUCGAUUGCCGCGGUCGAGAAGGCUCGAAAAAAUGGCGUGAAUUAGUUUUGAUUCUGUUUCUUCUAUUUUUCUUUGAAUCCAGUGUUUCACUUUUAUCUUCACGGCUUGGUGUGACGGUGGCGGCGACUGCGUGUCGGAAGCUUCUUUUGGAUCCCGAUCGAGUGAUUUUCAAUUACAGUGUAUAUGGUUAUAUGCUAUGCUUCUAAUUCAAAGUUCCAACUUACAAGAGGAUAAUGGAUGUAUGUAUAAUGAAUGAUUAGUGAGUUAAGCUAUAUAAUGACUUUUCAAUAUGUAAAUACUUCACAAAUAAUUAACUGCUAUCUAAUGGUAUCAUAGAAAUUCUGUUA
Molecule: long non-coding RNA, 1369 nt
Organism: Lathyrus oleraceus (garden pea)
Lineage: Eukaryota; Viridiplantae; Streptophyta; Magnoliopsida; Fabales; Fabaceae
Exons: 2
Source: RefSeq, a predicted model, not a curated record